Molecule: ribosomal RNA, 449 nt
Filed under: unidentified nematode Sourhope farm
Lineage: Eukaryota; Metazoa; Nematoda
Description: SSU rRNA
Rfam family: Eukaryotic small subunit ribosomal RNA
Source: RNAcentral
AAACUGCGUACGGCUCAUUACACCAGCUAUAAUUUACUUGACCUUGACUUCUUACUUGGAUAACUGUGGUAAUUCUAGAGCUAAUACAUGCACCAAAGCUCCAAUCUCCCCAGAGCGGAGCGCAUUUGUUCGCCACAAAACCAAGCGCCCUCCGGGCGUCCAGUGUUGACUCAGAACAACUAAGCUGAUCGCACGGUCUUGUACCGGCGACGUGUCUUUCAAGUGUCUGCCUUAUCAACUUUCGAUGGUAGUGUACCUGACUACCAUGGUGAUGACGGGUAACGGAGGAUAAGGGUUCGACUCCGGAGAAGGGGCCUGAGAAAUGGCCACUACGUCUAAGGAUGGCAGCAGGCGCGCAAAUUACCCACUCUCAACAUGAGGAGGUAGUGACGAGAAAUAACGAGACCGAUCUCAUACGAGGCCGGUCAUCGGAAUGGGUACAAUUUAAA